AGGGAACGCUGGCGGUAGGCCUAACACAUGCCAGUCGAACGGCAGCACAGUAAGAGCUUGCUCUUACGGGUGGCGAGUGGCGGACGGGUGAGGAAUACAUCGGAAUCUACUUUUUCGUGGGGGAUAACGUAGGGAAACUUACGCUAAUACCGCAUACGACCUACGGGUGAAAGCAGGGGAUCUUCGGACCUUGCGCGAUUGAAUGAGCCGAUGUCGGAUUAGCUAGUUGGCGGGGUAAAGGCCCACCAAGGCGACGAUCCGUAGCUGGUCUGAGAGGAUGAUCAGCCACACUGGAACUGAGACACGGUCCAGACUCCUACGGGAGGCAGCAGUGGGGAAUAUUGGACAAUGGGCGCAAGCCUGAUCCAGCCAUACCGCGUGGGUGAAGAAGGCCUUCGGGUUGUAAAGCCCUUUUGUUGGGAAAGAAAAGCAGCAGGUUAAUACCCCGCUGUUCUGACGGUACCCAAAGAAUAAGCACCGGCUAACUUCGUG
RNAcentral lists this ribosomal RNA (492 nucleotides) under uncultured bacterium. RNAcentral describes it as "partial 16S ribosomal RNA". It matches the Rfam family "Bacterial small subunit ribosomal RNA", at positions 31 to 507 of the family's 1533-position model. The record is from RNAcentral.